CAAGCCUUAUAAUUUUCCGUACACUGGCGGAGGAGGUACUUUUCCCAAAACUAUUGGUCCUAAAGACAUCAGUCAGAGUGUGGAGAGAAUGAUCACACAAACAUGCUUGUCUGGCUCUCAACAACGGAGGAGUGGUCGAUGGCGUGCGGUGAAUCGCGAGAAGUGUACUGAACAUGGUUCGGUGUUAGUGCUCCAGGAGGAAGUAUGAAGGCAUUUGAUUCCAGUAAGACUGAUGAUGAGGAACAUUUGAUGACAAGCAGGACUCUUUACCUUCUUCUGCUGGGAGUGAGAAAUCAUCAGGGUCAUCCUGAACUUCCAGACAUGUGGCUGGUACCCAACCCUGAGCGUCCUCAGUGCUGACAAACCACCAACCUGAGAAAUCAGACAGAAAAAAAAGAAAAUCAGAGAGGAGGGUCUUCAGGACGCGUCUCAAAGAACACACGAACCUCCUCGCAUUGGGAAAUAUACACCGGCAGCUGGAUCAGGGCCUGAGGGGAAAAUAUACACAAUCACUUGCUAAUGUGACACAUUCAGAAGCGUAAGUUGUUGAUAAGUUAGUCAUUGAAUUUCUGAAAAAAUUAUGAAGCAAACCAAAAGUAGUUGUUUAGAUUAAAAUCUGUUUUUUUUCUACACACUUUUACCACCUAAAUGCUUUCUUUAUAGCACGGCAUGCAAAGUGUCACAUAAAAACAGCGACACAUAUACACUAAACAGCAACUGGAAGUCAUGCAUUUCUUUAGUUUUUAUUCUCAUGAUUUAUUUGAACGCAUAACACUCUUAAAUGCAUAAUCACGGACGUCACGCUGUGAAUGUCAACGCUGUGCUUUCAUAUCAGGGCAUGCCAUGAGGGCAGAUGGGCUGUGUGUUUUACUCUGCACUGAUGGCAAGCCGUUUCUGCUUUAUCAACUGCACUUCAGACCCAGUCCCACAUCUAAUAAAGCUGCAUGUGCCUCCUGGCUGACAGAAGAUGCUUUUUGCCAUUGUAUAUUUUGGCAGAGGAGCUUUAAUUUAAUAAAGCUGAGUGCUGCUUCAGUGUCCUUCAGACGGACGUCCCUCUGAGUUAUGACAGCUGACCUGACUGGAAUAUUAAAAUUCACACGCUCGGACGCAUCUGCUCAAGGUGCCCGUUUCUAACCUGGCUUUUAAACAGAGCCUGGGCCAUUUUUUCACAAUUGCUUUUGACUCUCCAAUUACUCUAGCAAUCGCACGUUUGCCCAAUGCUCAAUUUUCUUAAUGAAAAGGGUGUUUUGAAUGUGCUUGUUUUAUUAAGAUAAGGGACGAGGCUGAUGACUGGUCUAACUCUCGGCUUUUGUUUGCUUGAAGAUUGGAUGGAUACGGAUCUUAUUCAUGUCGGUUUCCAUGGAUAUCACGGAUGUGCACAGAUUGAUGCCUCCCCAGGGUUCAAUACCUGACCUCCCGCUCAUUAGCAUUCCCUGAAGACACUGGUAUAUGGAGGCCAAUUAUAGUAAAUGCACUCUAUUGGGUGGGUGCAUUACCUUGAUUGUUUUAUGUGUGUGUGUGUGUGUGUGUGUGUGCGGGAGAGAGAGACAGAGAGAAAGAGAUGAAUGUUCGUCUAUUUCGCCACAGAAGGGCAUGCACUAUGUUCAUAAAGGUACAGGUUAUUGUUCACUAUACAGUACUAUUUAAAUAACACCAAAUUCUGCGAGUGGCAUCGAGUUGUGUAUCCGAAGUUUAAUCCUAAGAAGCCUACUAUAUAUGUCUAUAAAUGAUCAACACUUCCAAAGACUUGCUGUCUGAUUGAAAGUUCAUUACUAGCAUAUUGACUGUUUAUUAGUACUUAUAAAGAAGAUAUUAAUGCAUGAUUAUAUUAAUCUCUUAUCCCAACCCAAUACCUAAACAUAACUAUUACCACAACUAUCUUACUAUCAAUAAACAUCAAAUUAAGAAUUUAAAUCAAGGGAAAACUCUUAAUUAACUGUGAAUCAAUCCUCAAUCUAAUGUGUUACCAGUAAAGGUAAGAAUAACUUUUUUCCCCACAAUUUACUUGAUUAUUCAUAAUUCAUUUUUUUUCGUUUGAGGAACAUUUAUUUGUUUGUUUUUCAAUCAUCGUUGUAUUAUAUUGUACUGCAUUAUAUAUUUUGCCCCCACAAUAAAAAACAGAUAUUUGAUCAUAAAACUAAGCAUUUAAAUAUCAUCUUACUAUAUUACUGUAAGUAUAGUGUAGUAGAUACAUAUUACUGGGAGAUACCGAGUCACAACUUUUAUUCAUUUCAUUUUACGUAAGUAUCUGCUAUACUGUUAGAAAUAUUUCAUUGAAUUACAUUACAAGCAUCUUAGUUUUGGCCAUAUGAAUAUUAGAAUCUGCACCAAAUUUAAUAUAUUUUUGCUCAAUUUGGUCUUCUGGAUAAAAUUGUGUUAAAGUAUGAACUCCAUAUUUUCCUAUAUCAUACUAUAUGAGCCAUGAAGCCAAAUUUAUCUCAACAAAUCAAUUUAUACUCAAAAAACAAACAACAACAACAAAUAAAAGUAAAAAAAAAAAUAAUAAUAAAAUUCAAAUUAUUUAUGCAUGUACCCAAAUAUGCAUGUUUGUUUGUUCAAUAAACUGGUCCAUUUCAUUAGACUUUCAUGACUUCUUUCAUAUGUCAGGCUUUACAGGGCUAAAUGGUUAUUUUCAUGCAAACCCCAAAAAAUUAUUUAAAAUAUAUUUUUUGAAUUUUUUUUUUUUUUUUUGCCAGUCUGACCAACAUGAGAGAUGUGUUGAGUCUAAAGGACAGGUCCAGCACAUUGUAUUUGUGGGAAACGACCAUGUUUUUUUCCUAACGUGUUCACCCUUUAAAAAAUAAAAUAAAAUUCAGAUUUUCAAAAAAAAAAAAAUUAUUGCUAAUAUGCCUUAUUUUCAAGCCAAAAUAACCUCUGGAGUACUAUCGGUUUCCAUUUUCCCAACAAAACAAAUAUCUUAAUGGCAUUUCUGACCUUUCACCUCAAUUAAUAUAGAACUGCUCCAGCAUUUAAAAAAGAAACAGGUCAGCUGACGCUUAUUAAUUCACUGCUGUUAAUGCACAUGACUGCAGUAUGUAUCACAUGACCUGAGUGAAAAUCAAUGGCUUGAGCAUCAUGAGAUUCCAGUCCUCUUUGGACCUCAUGGAUGCGUUUGUGUGAAUGAUACAUUGAAUAUUAUUGUCAAUUGAAUUGAAUAUUGUGUCUCCCUGUUAUAGUGCUUUUUAUUUUGAAAAGCAAAAAUAUCCAUUUUACUAUUUGACAACUUGGCUUAAUAAUAGGUUAUCACCUGCACUGAAAAUACAUAUGCCUACUCUUUAAAUAUAUACUAGAUGAAAAGCAAUGUGUGAAAAGAUUAGUAUGUCUGGAUUCGUAGUAUUCAAAUUCUAUGGAAGCCAAUUUCAGCCAUGGGAUAAAAAUAAAAAAAUAUAAAAAGGCAAUUGCAACUUUUUGUCUCUGACUUUUUUUUUUUUUUUUCCAGAACUGUGAGAUAUAAACUUGCAAUUGUGAGUUAUAAUGUCAGAAUUAUAUGAUGUUUGUUUGUAAAAAAAAAAAAGUCAUUGUAACACGCAAUUCCAAGUAUAUAAUCACACAAUUCUGACAUCGUAACACAUGAUUGCAACUAUUUAUCAUGCAAUUCUGAGAAAAACAAAGUCAGAAUUGUGAGAUAAAAAGUCACAAUUAUCUUUUUAGUUUUUAUUCAAUGGUGAAAACAAUUUUGAAUGCAACUCAAGAGAAAUUAUGAUAAUGUUCCCAGCUCGACUCCGAAUCUCUUACAAGGGAGACAACAAGGAAUUUUUGGACCCGGAGAAAGCAACGGCCUACGACAUGAAGUCCACGAUUCAAGGUGAGGAAACCACAGUGACUGCAACACCAUUCUACAACUUUCUUUUUGGACUUUGCCUUUUUCGUAUUUUGACAGAGAUCAGUGCUUAAGACUAUGAGACUCUUUCUAAUUCAUCACCCAGCUGGAUAUGCCUUGGUCUCACAUUACAGAUCUUUCGAUAUACAUCUUACUUUUUGUCCUCCUUGGAAGAUGAGAGUGCAGAGAUGGCAUUUACUCCAUUUCAACAGUUAUAAGAGACAUUGUGACUUUUGGUGUAAAUAAGUGACAUGACAUGUGUAAUUGGUGUUCUUAUGGAUGUAUAUAUAAAAAGACAUUUAUAAUGUUCCGCUGAUGCUGUUCACUGUUAAUACAAUGUGUUAUUUUUUCUUUUACAACUGGGGCUAGACAGGGGCUGGUUUAUUAGACACUAAAGUGGUUCUCCUUUGCAAAAUGUGCCAUAAGUUCUUUAUGGCAAUGGAUGUUAUAGCCACCAGGUUAAUUUAGGUGGCUUGGGUUUGGGACUCCUUUUGUUAAUUCAAAAUUCCACCGUCUUGAUUUGUGGGGUUGUGCUCUCAGUGUUUUGUUUACCAAGUUUCCUAACGGCUAACACCAGCUCGAUGGGAAAUGCAGAGCACAUGAUUAAUUUUAUUAGUUGGAAUGUAAAAUCUUUAAAUCAUCCUGUGAAACGGAAAAAGACACUCUUGCACCUUGACUAUUUGAGGGCUGACAUAGCGUUUCUCCAGGAAACCCAUCUCCGGGUAGCAGACCGGACUGACAGGAGGAUGGAUAGGGCAAACAUUUCAUUCCAGUUUUAAUUCCAAGACGAGGGGGGUAGCAAUUACAAUGCGAAAGAACAUACCAUUUGUAAUGUCUAACAUUAGCUGUGUCUGAAAUCACUAAUCCCUAUAUAGAGUAAGGCAGCCGAGUGCACUAUAUUAGAAAGGAGUGAACGAAAUGAAGUGAACGGAUUCGGACGGUGACGUGUACACUGUGUGUGAGACUUGGCUGUUGCAAAAACAUCUUAGUCACAUAUGUACUUUUAUAUUACAUGUACCUCAUUUUAGAAAAUAAUAUUAAUAGCAAUACAACUUAAAAUGACUUUAUAUUGUAAUCAGCUUUGUGGUUUCAUUGAUGGUAUAUUAUUAAUUUGUUUUGUAUACUAUUAAAAUGUUGUCAACAAAAAUAAACUCACAUUAGCACGUUAAUAAUUGUAUGCAUUUAUUGUUUGUAGUGUUUUAUUUGCCAUUGCAAUCAAGCCACUGGCAGUUUCCAUACGGCAAGAGUCAUUUAUUAAAGGAAUUCGUAGAGGAGAUAUAGAGUGUAAAAUUUCGCUCAAAGCAGAUGACUUAUUAUUGUAUUUAUCAGAUCCAUUGCCAGGUCUAUAUAAAUUACUGAACAUGUUGGAAAAAUUUAGUAGGAUAUCUGGCUAUAAAAUACAUUUUCAAAAAUCGAGCUAAUGUCAAUCAAUGCGGCUGCCAAAUGUAUCGCUUUCAAUUCAGUUGCCACAAAAAAAUUAAAAAUAAUAAUAUUUAGUAAUCUGGGCUACACAUAAUUAUAAGGACCUCUAUAAAGCUAACUUCCUGCCCUUGAUAGAAAAUCUGAAAGAGGAUAUCAAACGUUGGGAUCUGCUGGAAGAAUUAAUACUAUUAAGAUGAAUGUAUUGCCCAAGUUUCUUUAUUUGUUUCAAAAUCUUCCUAUUUUUAAUACUUUUUUAACUCCAUAGAUAAACUCAUAUCAGCAUUCAUCUGGAAUAACAAAAAUUAUCAGAUUCGGAAAAGUAUAUUACAAAACUUCCCAAUUUUAUGUUUUAUUAUUGGGCGGCUAAUAUUAGAGGACUGACUUGCUGGAUGAAGGAUAGCGAUAGCCCUGACGCCUUUAAGUGGCUUAGUUUGGAAAAGAUCUCCUAUCCUCCCUAUCCUCUUUAAUGUGCUCUGAACAUCCAAUGAAUGAACCUGCCUCACGCUAUUCUUCUAACCCUAUGGUGACACAGUCCCUAAAAAUUUGGAAUCAAUUUAGAAAUUCGUUUGCCCUCCGCAGUCUCUCUCUACAUGCCCCCUUAAGAAAAAAACAUGUUUUUGCACAAUUUUGGACACAGAAGGCCACCAAAUGGGAUUUAAAUAUUCCAUGGAGGGAUUUAUAAAAUAUUUAAAUAUAAAUACGGUGGGUAACUCGAAGCGAGGGUUUACAGAUCACAAUGCAAGCGGGAGAAGUCUCAUGUUACGGUCGGUCAUCACGAUCGUGGAUCAACACUGUUCAUGAAUCACAGGCUACGAUUAAAUUAAUGUACAUUUAACCAGUUUAAUAUGG
Long non-coding RNA from Onychostoma macrolepis, 6091 nucleotides. RefSeq lists it as uncharacterized. The transcript is spliced from 3 exons. The record is from RefSeq and is a predicted model, not a curated record. Lineage: Eukaryota; Metazoa; Chordata; Actinopteri; Cypriniformes; Cyprinidae.